RNAcentral lists this ribosomal RNA (253 nucleotides) under uncultured bacterium. Its description in RNAcentral is "partial 16S ribosomal RNA". It matches the Rfam family "Bacterial small subunit ribosomal RNA", at positions 524 to 776 of the family's 1533-position model. The record is from RNAcentral.
UACGUAGGGUGCGAGCGUUAAUCGGAAUUACUGGGCGUAAAGUGUGCGCAGGCGGCCGCUCAAGUCGAGUGUGAAAGCCCCGGGCUUAACUUGGGAAUUGCGCUCGAAACUACGUGGCUGGAGUGUGGCAGAGGAAGGUGGAAUUCCAGGUGUAGCGGUGAAAUGCGUAGAGAUCUGGAGGAACACCGAUGGCGAAGGCAGCCUUCUGGGCCAACACUGACGCUCAUGCACGAAAGCGUGGGGAGCAAACAGG